AUUGAACGCUGGCGGAAUGCUUUACACAUGCAAGUCGAACGGCAGCACGGACUUCGGUCUGGUGGCGAGUGGCGAACGGGUGAGUAAUGUAUCGGAACGUGCCCAGUCGUGGGGAAUAACGUAGUGAAAAUUACGCUAAUACCGCAUACGAUCUAUGGAUGAAAGCGGGGGAUCGCAAGACCCUGCGCGAUUGGAGCGGCCGAUAUCAGAUUAGGGAGUUGGUGGGGUAAAGGCCCACCAAGCCAACGAUCUGUAGCUGGUCUGAGAGGACGACCAGCCACACUGGAACUGAGACACGGUCCAGACUCCUACGGGAGGCAGCAGUGGGGAAUUUUGGACAAUGGGCGAAAGCCUGAUCCAGCCAUUCCGCGUGCAGGAUGAAGGCCCUCGGGUUGUAAACUGCUUUUGUACAGAACGAAAAGGUUUCUACUAAUACUAGGAGCUCAUGACGGUACUGUAAGAAUAAGCACCGGCUAACUACGUGCCAGCAGCCGCCGUAA
RNAcentral lists this ribosomal RNA (500 nucleotides) under uncultured bacterium. RNAcentral's name for it is "partial 16S ribosomal RNA". It matches the Rfam family "Bacterial small subunit ribosomal RNA", at positions 30 to 523 of the family's 1533-position model. The record is from RNAcentral.